RNAcentral lists this long non-coding RNA (2075 nucleotides) under Venturia canescens. RNAcentral's name for it is "uncharacterized LOC122412481". Lineage: Eukaryota; Metazoa; Arthropoda; Insecta; Hymenoptera; Ichneumonidae. The record is from RNAcentral.
GCGAAUCUGGAAAACAGUUGAAGCAAAAUCCAGUUUAAUCCAAUGACAAUUUUGUCUGAAAAAAUUGUAAAAUUUUUUUUUAUUGGUAGAAUCGCAAAUAAUAAUAAUUACCCAGUAAUUUGUCCAGGAAGAUAACCCGUCACGAUGAUGGCCGAAGUUGCACUCAAUUGUAUUGGAAUCGCGCUUUGACUCAGCACAUUCUGCAACGAAAUAAAUGGUUUCCCAUUCAGUUAUUCGUGAAGAAGUUCGUCGAACCUCUGAACGAGGUUCUUUUGUUCGUACAUAGAUUGUCGUCAAAGUUGUGAUUAAAAUCCGCGUGUCGAAAUUUCCUGCUAAAUGCGAUCAUUUCUUGCUCACCGGAUCGUUUCAAUCGGGAAUUCAAUAUCGUGCAGAGCCCUCCCAUUAUGAGGAAAAUUCAGAGUCGCCUAUCAUUCCAACUUCUUGCGUCCAAUUAUUCUCGUCUGACUGAGAAAACGAAAUUCAAUCGGGAGGGGGGGGACUCGUUUGAGUGAGCGAAAAAAAAACCAAUUUAUCUCUAAGCGAUUCAAUAACGAGAUGACGGAACACAUUUGCGGUCGGGAUCGCUCGCUCGGAAAGCGCUCGACAACUUACUUGUAAUCGUGUAACAGCCCGAGGGACAAUUAAUUCCUUCAAAGCUGCCUUCUUGGGAUGAAAAAUAAAAAUUUUCGCCUGCUAACGAACCGGGACAACUGACAAUUUGUUAAUUUUGACUGGCAAGAGAAACGAACCCAGACGCUCAUCUGUUUUCGUUCGAGUAAACGCUAGUCGUCCGAUAUUUGAGAAAAAUUAUCGAUCGUCAACUUGCAGAAGUUUUCCAAUUUUUCCAAAGGAAUAUGCUGAGAAAGAUUUCAAUCAAAUUUGACUUGAAGAUUGAAGACUGGAAGUUCACGCAAAGUUCGAAAUUUCGAAACAUUCCAUUGCACCAAUGCGACUGUGCGCGACCACUGACUGUCGCCUGUACGACAGAGUCCGAGCUGAACCGAGAAUUGACGGAGUGUACCGAAUACCGCAUAACAUAUUUACACCAAUACGAACGACGAGCAGGUAUAGAAACACAACAGAAUAUUGAGCGAAGCAGAUGUCGCGAUCACAUUUUACGUUCGACAAGAUCUCAUUUGAAGUGAAAAUUCAAUUUUCAACGUAUACUCACCAACGGUUGUGUCUGCGUAUCAAAAAAUCGAAAUCUUUUGAACGCUUCUUGUUUUUUGUCAACGCUUUUUUCCACUGUCGAUUCCGGCGACAUGAUUCUCGAGUGUUAUGAAGCAGAAGAACAACAGCUCGCGAUAGACUCGACGAGUCUACACACUUAAACAUGGAUAUCGUGCCAGCUCAGCUACUCGUCCGAAUAUUCCGUUGCACAUGUGCCAACACAUAGCCACUUAUUGUCGACCUCGCCCUCACGAUUUAUGAGAUUCUUUAUGUGAUUAUUUGAGACUCGUGACACGUACGAUACUAUAGUGACCGUUUAGAUGAUAAUUACGAGAGGGGAGCUCAAGGGGAAUGAGAGAACGUUAUUAACACUGCAUCGAGACACAGCUCUCCGGCUGAAUUUUAAUUCCAAGCUUCACCAUUCACUGCUAAGAAGCUCUAACUGAAAUUGAGUCCGUGAAAAUUGACGCAUUCGAAUUGCAGCAUUUUACGUUUGCCAGAAAAAUGUGUCGAAUUCUCGGAUUUAGUUCGUGCAUGCUCAUAUUGUUUCCUUCCGUUAUAAAAAAAAAAACGUCGUAAUUUAAAAGAAAGUAUUUUUCUUUCUGACAGUUUAGUUUACGGGAUUUGUCCAAAGUGUCAAUUAUUUUGAUGAUUUCGUGUCGGUAAUCCUCACUGCACUGUAUUGAAAAGUUGCUCGGAAAUUCAAAACCUUUAAUUUUGGAAUCUAUUAACCUCAAGAGAUUGAGACCUUUCAAAAUCAACGAUAAUAAUGCCACUGGUUUUCGUACAAUAGAAAAUCUUCUGACUAAUGACCGAACGAUUCGCCAAACUGGAGAAAAAACUUUUUAUUGUAUUCUCUCUUGUUAAUUUCAUAACAAUAUAGAAACCCUCUACUGACCUCGCAA